UACGUAGGGUGCAAGCGUUGUCCGGAAUUAUUGGGCGUAAAGAGCUCGUAGGCGGUCUGUCGCGUCGGAUGUGAAAAUCCAGGGCUCAACCCUGGACCUGCAUUCGAUACGGGCAGACUAGAGUUCGGUAGGGGAGACUGGAAUUCCUGGUGUAGCGGUGAAAUGCGCAGAUAUCAGGAGGAACACCGGUGGCGAAGGCGGGUCUCUGGGCCGAUACUGACGCUGAGGAGCGAAAGCGUGGGGAGCGAACAGG
Molecule: ribosomal RNA, 253 nt
Filed under: uncultured bacterium
Lineage: Bacteria
Description: partial 16S ribosomal RNA
Rfam family: Bacterial small subunit ribosomal RNA
Source: RNAcentral